GUAGUUUGACUCGUGCUACGAGGAUGAACGCUGGCGGCGUGCUUAACACAUGCAAGUCGAACGGUGAAGCCCAGCUUGCUGGGUGGAUCAGUGGCGAACGGGUGAGUAACACGUGAGCAACCUGCCCCUGACUCUGGGAUAAGCGCUGGAAACGGCGUCUAAUACUGGAUACGAGUAGCGACCGCAUGGUCAGUUACUGGAAAGAAUUUUGGUUGGGGAUGGGCUCGCGGCCUAUCAGCUUGUUGGUGAGGUAAUGGCUCACCAAGGCGUCGACGGGUAGCCGGCCUGAGAGGGUGACCGGCCACACUGGGACUGAGACACGGCCCAUACUCCUACGGGAGGCAGCAGUGGGGAAUAUUGCACAAUGGGCGCAAGCCUGAUGCAGCAACGCCGCGUGAGGGAUGACGGCCUUCGGGUUGUAAACCUCUUUUUAGCAGGGAAGAAGCGAAAGUGACGGUACCUGCAGAAAAAGCGCCGGCUAACUACGUG
This 489-nucleotide ribosomal RNA is filed under the name uncultured Microbacterium sp. Its description in RNAcentral is "bacterial SSU rRNA". It matches the Rfam family "Bacterial small subunit ribosomal RNA", at positions 1 to 507 of the family's 1533-position model. The record is from RNAcentral. Lineage: Bacteria; Bacillati; Actinomycetota; Actinomycetes; Micrococcales; Microbacteriaceae.